GUGGUGCUUGUUCUUGGCAGUCGUGGUCGUCGGCAGGCCGUCCUGAGCUCCCCUGAUUGGGACUUCAAAGCGGGCGCAAGACCCAUGAGGACGGCUGUCGCGAUCAAUGGUUUGCCGAGAAGUCGAGUCGGGCUGUUUGAGAGUACAACCCAAAGCGGAUGGUAUAUCUCAUCUAAGGCUGAAUAUGACUACGAGACCGAUAGCGAACAAGUACCGCGAGGGAAAGUUGAAAAGAACUCUGAAGAGAGAGUUAAAAAGGACGUGAAACCGCUCAAAAGAAAACUGACGGAGCUGUCGUUGUCGGGCUGUCGGCAAUCAGUCGCUUUGUUUGUAGUCGAGUCCCCGUUGCUGCUAGUCAUUGUUGGUUAGUCCGGCUGGCUGCAGUGCAGGUGACAUGUCGAUCGGCUACGAGUGAUGCAUUUGUCGGCGGCUGGCGCCACGAGCAGCGCUUGGCAGUUGCGUGCAAUAGGUCCCACCGCUUUGCUAUGACGCGAGCGUCUUGGACAAUUGUUGUUUUGCAUCAGUUGGCCUUGGCGAUCGGUCGGCGGUUGUCUAACGGGGCUCAUGGCAACGGUUAUUGCCGACGCUGUUUGGUUAAUCAGUUGGCUACGGCUUGUGCUUCCCGGUCGGUCUGUUUGACCAGCCGGAGGCAUGCUUGCAUUGCUUCGGCAGCAGUUGGACAAGUGCGCCUGAGCGUUGAUCACUUGACUGGUCGUCCGAUUCUGUGGCUCUCUGGGUCAAGGUUGGCGAUCUGCUUGGUUGCGUUCAGAUGCGGCUGCUCGUUGUUUUGAAAUGUCGGCACCGGUCGUCAAUCUGUGGCGUUUUCGUGACGGCCACCCGUCGGACCCGUCUUGAAACACGGACCAAGGAGUGCAGCAGUUGCGCGAGUCAUUGACACGCUGACACGGUCAAGGGCGCAACGAAAGUGACCUGUUUAUGUUGUGUAGAGCUGGACGUCCGCAGACUGGGCGUUCGGCGCAUACAGGAGCCGUUCGAAUCCAAGUUGUCGGGUGCUUCUAGUCUUAACCGGCGCGUCCCCGGCAACGGAUGCAACGGAAUCGGAGCGCACAUGCUGCUACCCGAAAGAUGGUGAACUAUGCCUGAGCAGGAUGAAGCCAGAGGAAACUCUGGUGGAAGUUCGAAGCGGUGUUGACGUGCAAAUCACUCGCUUGACUUGUGCAUAGGGGCGAAAGACUAAUC
Molecule: ribosomal RNA, 1200 nt
Filed under: Capillaria sp. ALS-2019
Lineage: Eukaryota; Metazoa; Nematoda; Enoplea; Trichinellida; Capillariidae
Description: partial large subunit ribosomal RNA
Rfam family: Eukaryotic large subunit ribosomal RNA
Source: RNAcentral